GACGAACGCUGGCGGCGUGCCUAAUACAUGCAAGUCGAGCGGACGAAUCGAAAGCUUGCUUUUGAUUCGUUAGCGGCGGACGGGUGAGUAACACGUGGGCAACCUGCCCUGUAGACGGGGAUAACACCGAGAAAUCGGUGCUAAUACCGGAUAACACGAAAUGUCGCAUGACGUUUCGUUGAAAGACGGCGCAAGCUGUCGCUACAGGAUGGGCCCGCGGCGCAUUAGCUAGUUGGUGAGGUAACGGCUCACCAAGGCGACGAUGCGUAGCCGACCUGAGAGGGUGAUCGGCCACACUGGGACUGAGACACGGCCCAGACUCCUUCGGGAGGCAGCAGUAGGGAAUCUUCCGCAAUGGACGAAAGUCUGACGGAGCAACGCCGCGUGAGCGAAGAAGGCCUUCGGGUCGUAAAGCUCUGUUGUUAGGGAAGAACAAGUAACGCAGUAACUGGCGUUACCGUGACGGUACCUAACGAGAAAGCCACGGCUAACUACGUG
This 498-nucleotide ribosomal RNA is filed under the name uncultured bacterium. RNAcentral's name for it is "partial 16S ribosomal RNA". It matches the Rfam family "Bacterial small subunit ribosomal RNA", at positions 28 to 507 of the family's 1533-position model. The record is from RNAcentral.